AAAAUUCAUUUUGGAACUGAAUUCUCGUGGGUCUGCAUGGCACAUACCACAAACAAAAAUUAUCAUAGCAUGUUUUUGUUGUGUAUAACACUUUGUAUUUGAAAAUUUGUAGCACCAUGAGAUUCAGCUCUGGCGUGAAUUUC
RNAcentral lists this microRNA precursor (143 nucleotides) under Musca domestica (house fly). RNAcentral describes it as "mir-998 microRNA precursor family". It matches the Rfam family "mir-998 microRNA precursor family". The record is from Rfam by way of RNAcentral. Lineage: Eukaryota; Metazoa; Arthropoda; Insecta; Diptera; Muscidae.